This 301-nucleotide ribosomal RNA is filed under the name uncultured bacterium. RNAcentral describes it as "partial 16S ribosomal RNA". It matches the Rfam family "Bacterial small subunit ribosomal RNA", at positions 509 to 807 of the family's 1533-position model. The record is from RNAcentral.
CAGUAGCCGCGGGAAUACGGAGGAUCCAAGCGUUAUCCGGAAUCAUUGGGUUUAAAGGGUCCGUAGGCGGUCUUGUAAGUCAGUGGUGAAAGCCCAUCGCUCAACGAUGGAACGGCCAUUGAUACUGCAGGACUUGAAUUAUUGGGAAGUAACUAGAAUAUGUAGUGUAGCGGUGAAAUGCUUAGAGAUUACAUGGAAUACCAAUUGCGAAGGCAGGUUACUACCAAUUGAUUGACGCUGAUGGACGAAAGCGUGGGUAGCGAACAGGAUUAGAUACCCCUGUAGUCCCUGUCUCUUAUAC